This is a non-coding RNA of Lupinus albus (white lupine), 1219 nucleotides long. Lineage: Eukaryota; Viridiplantae; Streptophyta; Magnoliopsida; Fabales; Fabaceae. The record is from the annotation of a GenBank genome assembly.
GUGAAAACAUGCAACAUAUGUAAGUACACUGAUAAUAUCAAGGAUAGACAUAAUCUCUACCCAAAUAUUACUGACAUUUUACAACGGGAAUGAAAUUAAUUACUACUACACAAUAAUUACAUAUCAAAUGUGAAAAUUUUAGGUUAAUACUUCAAUGGCCACAUAGUGCAAUAGUUAGGGAUGAGAAUAAGGAUCUUAAAAAGGUAAUUUAAAUCGAGAAACUAAGUAUUUAAUAUAUUGAAAAGUGAUCGAGUAAGUUUCCCAAAACACAUCUUUAUCCUUGUUUAACAUGUUAUUCUCAUCCUUAAUAAAAUCUAGAGUAAAUUACACUCAUACUCCCUGAGUUUUAUUGAAAUUACACAAACUACUCAUAACUUUUUUGUCCUUACACGAAUCACCACUAAUUUUGUACAUAUGUUACACUGACUACCUCUGCAUGAUAUAAAAGUGUAAUAUUUUAAACAAAAAAUGUAUGAUGUGUGUAAUUAAUUAAACAAAAUAUUGUAUAUUAUGUAGACAAAUUCAAAUAAUAUAAGAGUCAAUGCGUUUUCAUUAGUUGUCUCAUUAUAAAAUAGUAUAAGAGUUAUUUAAACAUUUAUUUGAAAUUAUUAAUGUAUUUUUUUAAUGACACAAAAAUAAUAACGAAACAUUUUUGUAUUAUUUGAAGUGUUACAUAAUAUACAAUAUUUUGUUUAACUUAAUUGCAUUCAUUAAACGCUUUUUCUUUAAAAUAUUACACUUUUAUAACAUGCAGGGUAGUCAGUGUAAUGUAUGUAUAAAUCUAGGGGUGGUUUGUGUAUGAGGGAGUGAUGGUUGGUGUAAGGACAAAGAAAGGUGAGGUGGUUUGUGUAAUUUCAUUAAAAAUCAGGGGGUGUGAGUGUAAUUUACUCUAAAAUCUAAUAACUACGGAUUAUUACCAGGACCAAUAUUACCAUUUCCGCCGGGAUUUGACGGUGGCGCGCGGCCACGUGGAUGAAGGUCGUAUGCCCAAGACUGGUUAUGAUUUAAAGUUAAUGGCCUGCAAGCUACUUCAGAUUUAAAAGUAGCAAAUAUAGUGAGGAUGAUUAGCAAAAGGUGUGGAACUAUGAAGAGGAUCCUUGUGGAAGAUAAAGACAUUUAUGUAGUUUCUUUGGUGAAGUUAAACUCACUUGUUCUAGUUCUAAUAUAAUGAAUAUCGAAUUAUUAUGCUUUUCGAUAUUCCUUAAUUGGUAAGAGAUAG